Molecule: ribosomal RNA, 253 nt
Filed under: uncultured bacterium
Lineage: Bacteria
Description: partial 16S ribosomal RNA
Rfam family: Bacterial small subunit ribosomal RNA
Source: RNAcentral
UACAGAGGUGGCAAGCGUUGUUCGGAAUUACUGGGCGUAAAGGGCGCGUAGGUGGCCUUCUUAGUCAGACGUGAAAUCCCCAGGCUUAACCUGGGAACUGCGUCUGAUACUGGAAGGCUCGAGUUCGGGAGAGGAAUGUGGAAUUCCAGGUGUAGCGGUGAAAUGCGUAGAUAUCUGGAAGAACACCGGUGGCGAAGGCGGCAUUCUGGACCGAAACUGACGCUGAGGCGCGAAAGCCAGGGGAGCAAACGGG